ACGGCGUGCCUUUUGCAUAAUGAGCCUACGAGUUACACCUGACUAGCAAGUUUAAGGCUUUCAGAGCCGCAAGCGAAGCGAAAGCGAGUCUGAAUAGGGCGUAAGCUAGUUGGGGUAGACGCGAAACCUGGUGAUCUACCCAUGGGCAGGUUGAAGUUCCGAUAGUCUCGGAAUGGAGGACCGAACCAGUACACGUUGAAAAGUGUUUGGAUGACCUGUGGGUAGGGGUGAAAGGCCAAUCAAACCAGGAGAUAGCUCGUACUCCCCGAAAUGCAUUUAGGUGCAGCGUUUGCGAUAGUAUGUCAUGGAGGUAGAGCUACCAAUAGGGCUAGGGGGCUUCACCGCCUACCAACCCCUGAUGAACUCCGAAUGCCAUGACAUGUAGCAAGCAGUGAGGCGUUGGGUGCGAAGGUCCAGCGCCGAGAGGGAAACAACCCAGACCAUCAGCUAAGGUCCCAAAGUAUUAGCUAAGUUGAAUGAACGAGGUGGGAAUGCUAUGACAGCUAGGAUGUUGGCUUGGAAGCAGCCAUUCAUUUAAAGAGUGCGUAACAGCUCACUAGUCGAGCGUUCCUGCGCGGAAAAUAAUCGGGCAUUAAGCUAAUCACCGAAGCUAUGGACUCCUUCGGGAGUGGUAGGGGAGCAUUCCAGUGUUGCAGAAGGUGUACUGCGAGGUAUGCUGGAGAUACUGGAAAAGCAAAUGUAGGCAUGAGUAACGAUAAAUGAGGUGAGAGACCUCAUCGCCGUAAGACUAAGGGUUCCUCGUUCGAUGUUAAUCAGAACAGGGUUAGUCGGGUCCUAAGGUGUAGCCGACAGGCGAAGCCGAUGGCAAACGGGUUAAUAUUCCCGUACCUGCUAUACAAUAAAAGUGACGGAGUAGUGUAGGUGGUGCGUACUGACGGAAUAGUACGUUGAACUAACUGCAAAGUUAGGAUAGUACACCAAGUCCCUAGGACGAGGUGAUAAUCCACUGAAGCGACUUCCUAGAAACAGCGAGUAUAGCAGCCCGUACCGUAAACCGACACAGGUAGUCGAGGAGAGUAUCCUAAGGCGCUCGAGUGAUCCGUGGCUAAGGAACUAGGCAAAAUCGACUCGUAACUUCGGGAGAAGAGUCGCCCCCUAACGGGGGCCGCAGUGAAAAGGCCCAGGCGACUGUUUAGCAAAAACACAGGACUCUGCGAAAUCAAUAGAUGACGUAUAGGGUCUGACGCCUGCCCGGUGCCGGAAG
RNAcentral lists this ribosomal RNA (1225 nucleotides) under uncultured Pelagophyceae. Its description in RNAcentral is "partial Bacterial large subunit ribosomal RNA". It matches the Rfam family "Bacterial large subunit ribosomal RNA", at positions 596 to 1875 of the family's 2925-position model. Lineage: Eukaryota; Pelagophyceae. The record is from RNAcentral.